Molecule: ribosomal RNA, 229 nt
Filed under: uncultured bacterium
Lineage: Bacteria
Description: partial 16S ribosomal RNA
Rfam family: Bacterial small subunit ribosomal RNA
Source: RNAcentral
CACGUAGGGGGCAAGCGUUGUCCGGAUCAUUGGGCGUAAGCGCGUGUAGGCGGCUCAGUAAGUCCGGCUCUGAAAGCCCGGGGCUUAACCCCGGGAGGCGGGUGGAUACUGCUGAGGCUUGAGUCCGGAAGAGGCGAGUGGAAUUCCCGGUGUAGCGGUGAAAUGCGCAGAUAUCGGGAGGAACACCAAUGGCGAAGGCAGCUCGCUGGGACGUGACUGACGCUGGAGA